This 597-nucleotide ribosomal RNA is filed under the name Crangonyx hobbsi. RNAcentral's name for it is "partial large subunit ribosomal RNA". It matches the Rfam family "Eukaryotic large subunit ribosomal RNA", at positions 170 to 612 of the family's 3401-position model. The record is from RNAcentral. Lineage: Eukaryota; Metazoa; Arthropoda; Malacostraca; Amphipoda; Crangonyctidae.
GCUAUCCCGACUAACGGAGGGACUGACUCCACGGAGGGUGUAAGACCCGUGUGGGCGCGUGUUAAAGCUGAUUGGGGUUGGCCUCUUUUCCCUGAGAGUCGCGUUGCUCUGGCAUGCAGCGCUAAGCAGGUCGUAAACUCGAUCUAAGGCUAAAUAUUUCCACAGGCCCGAUAGCGAACAAGUACCGUGAGGGAAAGUUGAAAAGCACUCUGAAGAGAGAGUCAAAAGACCGUGAAACCGCUCAGAGUAUAAGCCCAUGGAGCUCGGAAGGCAUACCGCAGUCCUAUAACAAGGUCGGCUUGCAUGAAUGGUCCGUCAGGCAGUGGCAUUGAGUUGAUAACACGCUGACGUGCGGGGGAGGACACUGGUCGCGUAGACGGGCUUAGGCCAGUUUUGCACGGCCAGCUACUCCCUUGAGCACGGACGUUCAAGGGUGCUUGCCGUAUGCGGAAACGCCCACCACGUCUCGUUGCGUGGUCACCCACAGGCUCGACUGUCGAUCGCGUGUUCACCUCGUUCGCAAAGAUGUGUCGAUGGCUGUCCCUGGCCCCCCCUCUAGGGGUCGGGACCGACACUUGCGUUCGAGGCUACUUUUUU